GUCGCGGUGCGGGGUGGCGCUCGCGCCGAUCGCGGCGGCGAGCCGGUCCCGCAGUGCCGGCCAGUCGUCCGGGUCGAUCCGUGCCCC
Molecule: transfer RNA, 87 nt
Filed under: Micromonospora sp. MH33
Lineage: Bacteria; Bacillati; Actinomycetota; Actinomycetes; Micromonosporales; Micromonosporaceae
Description: tRNA-Ala
Source: RNAcentral